AUCUUGGAAGCUAAGCAGGGUCGGGCCUGAUUAGUACUUGGAAGGGAGACCACGUAGGAUGACAAGGUGC
RNAcentral lists this microRNA precursor (70 nucleotides) under Pteropus vampyrus (large flying fox). RNAcentral describes it as "miRNA (ENSPVAG00000029943.1)". The record is from RNAcentral. Lineage: Eukaryota; Metazoa; Chordata; Mammalia; Chiroptera; Pteropodidae.